Molecule: unclassified non-coding RNA, 431 nt
Filed under: soil metagenome
Description: partial contains 5.8S ribosomal RNA, internal transcribed spacer 2, and large subunit ribosomal RNA
Rfam family: 5.8S ribosomal RNA (bases 1-120)
Source: RNAcentral
GAUGAAGAACGUAGCGAAAUGCGAUACGUAAUGUGAAUUGCAGAAUUCAGUGAAUCAUCGAAUCUUUGAACGCAUAUUGCGCUCUCUGGUAUUCCGGAGAGCAUGCUUGUUUGAGUAUCAGUAAACACCUCAACUUCAUAUCUUUUUUGAAAUGGGAGUUGGACUUGAGUGAUCCCAACGCUUUUCCUCACCGAAAAGUGGCGGGUUACUUGAAAUGCAGGUGCAGCUGGACUUUUCUCUGAGCUAUAAGCAUAUCUAUUUAGUCUGCCUAAAAAACAGAUUAUUACCUUUGCUGCAGCUAACAUAAAGGAGAUUAGUUCUUGUGCUGACUGAUGCAGGAUUCACAAAGACGGCUUCGGCCGACUUUGUAAACUCGAUCUCAAAUCAAGUAAGACUACCCGCUGAACUUAAGCAUAUCAAUAAGCGGAGGA